Long non-coding RNA from Cyanistes caeruleus (blue tit), 2873 nucleotides. RefSeq lists it as uncharacterized. Lineage: Eukaryota; Metazoa; Chordata; Aves; Passeriformes; Paridae. The record is from RefSeq and is a predicted model, not a curated record.
GUCACAGCCAGCAGCGGAGCAUCGCGUACCUGCGCAGAAAACAUUCCCUUGGCCAGCAGGAAUUGCCUCGUUUCUCAUUACGAGGUGAGGACCCACGUACGCAUCGGAAAUUGGAGUUUUAUAACCCUGGUUCUUCCCGUAAAUGCCCCAGAAUGUUCACCAGGAGUUCUGUCCAUGGACAGUCUGAUUUCUGGAAGAUUCUGGAAGUGUGGUGGUGUCAAGAGGAGGGGUUGGUGUUGAACUUUCAUUCGUCCUGGGAUAGGAAGCGGACUCAUUACCAUCGGACCUGUAAUCAAAUACAGAAGCACAAUGAGCGUCAAGACUUACAUACAAAUCUCAAUUUUAUGCUGUAAUUUAUAUACAUAUAAUAUUUCAAAUAUCUGUAAAGUUUUGAUUGUAGUGCAGAGCGGUGCUGAGUGGCAGAAAAUCCACUGAUUAACAGGCUGCUUAUGUUUAGUGAUGCAUAUGAUGAAGAACGUCUUAAAUUGAAACCAUUGCACUCUUUGCGGUAGGUUUGCUUCUUCUUUAGCAGUUGUGUGUUUUGCCUUCAUCUACAGGCACUGUUUAAUACCUUUGUUAUCAGCAUGAGCAGUGGUGUUGAGGGCACUCCCAGCAAGUUUUCUGAGCUGUCCUAGGGUACAGUAUUUCUGAGUAUUUCUAAGUAUUUCUACAGUAUAGUUUUCUGAGCCGUAUAGGGUACAGUAGCAUUUGAGUAAAUGCUACAUGGCAAGAAAAUUUAGUUCAGCAUCACGAAAAAUAAAGCUGGUUAAUAAUGGAUAAGGUUAUGCUACUGCUACUAUUUAUGCCUUGAAAGUGCAUAUAUUUCAAGGACAAGAAUGUAGAGAAAAGGGUUGCUGUUGCUUCAGUUUCUGUCAGAACAAGAGCAAAUGGAUGAAUAUGGCAGAAAAAUUGUUUUCUAUUUCUCUAUUUUGUUACGUCAGAGGAGCAAUUUCCCAAAAGAUUCCACCCAUCACAUGGAAAAUAAUUACACUGUUCAUACUUGCUGAAAAGAAAAAAAAAGGCUGGAGCCCUCUGUGCUCCUGGAAGGAUUUCCACUUGGUGACUCAGUUACCGAGAACCAUCAACAGAUUAUUGUGCAGUAGAACACAACUUUUGAUGAUUACUUCAGACUUCAGCCAAAAUUAGGUUUUAUUAUCCCUUGGGUUAUCUUUCAAACAUUUGCAAAUUAGAUGACUAAACUGUAAGAAUCAGCUCAGUUCCUUGUGGUCCUACAGUACUGCAUUUUCAUCUGUCUUCUUUUGGUUCUUUGCAAGUACAAAGUGACUUCCUGAGGCACAGGGCAAGAAUAACUGAAAUUCUUUGCUGCACUAUGCAGAAGGUCAUGAAAUGUUCAGAAUUACCCCUUUUAACAAUAAUCUGUAUUAAUCUGUAAAUCAAUGAAUAGCAAAAGCUGCUUCAGCUGUUAGGACUCAUUAGUGUUUUAGCUCAUGCAGAACAAUCUGUUCUCGCUUCUUUUGCUUCUAAAGACAUACAGAGGAAAAUCCUUAACCAUUUUCUGAGUGCAAAAGUUGUAUCAUUAUAUUCAAAUUGCUCAAAGUAGUGGUUUUUUCCCCUCAUGGAGAAGGAAAUCAUAUUCUUCAACUCAAUUCUCAUUUACCUAAGAAUUGGGAGAUGAAUAAAAUCACAGGGUCCCUUUCUACUGCUCUGAUUAAGUCAAACUUGGAUAUGAUGAAAGCAAAAAGAUAUAGUGCCCCAUGGCCAAAUCUGAUGUUAUGUUACAAAACCUGGGUAAAACAAAGCCUUAAUUCUACAAUACCACAAAAUGGCCAACUAAAUGAAACAGUAUUUCUCUAAGAGUGUUGGCAAAACAUAUCUCCACUUCAAAGCUGAUUAAUUAGCAAUUUUUUUAAGCACAAGAAUUGUCUGUCAGCAGCAGAGUACAUGAAAUCAGUUAGCUAACUGUGGUCAACGUGUUUCACAGAACUUUUUAAUAGAACCUGAGGCAUCUAAAUGCCAGAACCAUAUAAACUUCAUGGAAGUCUGGGAAAUACUUUUGAUUUCAACAAGAGGCUGUUCAAACCCUUAAUAAAUCCUAUUAAAUUUACUAAGCUCUAAUUCCUUGGAGUAGGAGACCAGACAGAUUUGUGAUAUGAAACAUAAGUAAUAUUUAUGUCAUUCUUUUAUCUUGCUUAAAUAGAGAUUAAUUGUCUAGUCCUUUUUGUAUAAAACAUACAUAUAUGAUGCAGUCACUGAGUUUUUAUUACUUCCUGUGUUAUUAAAUUACCUAGGCUUAUCCUGUGGACUAGAUUGCCUUAUAUAGAAUUCAUAUUUUAAUUGUUUUGGAUUCUGAACCCUUUGGAGUUCAUUUGAAGCUGAUACUCAAAGCAAACCUUGGGUUGUUAAAGCCCACACUAAGUGAAAUAUUAAAAAAAAAAGUAUGAACAAGCCCUGUGGAAUGCAAAUGUCAUAUUUCACACGUCUUUGAUAAACACAGAUCUCCCUCAUUUGCCUCCUGUUUAGGCUCAGUUUCAAGAGUUUGCUGCUGUAGUUUGCACGGUGAGCAAUGGGCAGGUCCCUGCGGCGUUUCAGCCACUGCCAUACGGUGCUGGCAGGCACCAGAUACAAGAAAGCUUCCUUCCUUGGCAGACCCUGUCAUGCAGCUGCCAGGGGUACUGCAGCACUGCCAGUCUUUAGGCCCAGCUCCUCUGCCUGUCUCUGAAUGAUUUCUCAAUGUUUGGCACAAAGGAGAGAAGGAAGGUCACUUCCCACAUCCAGAAGUGGCUGUUGGACCUUGCUGACACAAGGCUGCAUUUUGCUGCCCUAAACUUCCUCCUAAUAAGCUAACUUACUGGGCACAGAAACUUCUUCAAGCCUCAUGAAAGCUACUGUGCUGAUAUAAUCUCCCUAUAAGU